RNAcentral lists this ribosomal RNA (443 nucleotides) under uncultured bacterium. Its description in RNAcentral is "partial 16S ribosomal RNA". It matches the Rfam family "Bacterial small subunit ribosomal RNA", at positions 338 to 795 of the family's 1533-position model. The record is from RNAcentral.
CCUACGGGUGGCAGCAGUGGGGAAUAUUGGGCAAUGGGCGCAAGCCUGACCCAGCAACGCCGCGUGAAGGAAGAAGGCUUUCGGGUUGUAAACUUCUUUUCGCAGGGACGAAGCAAGUGACGGUACCUGAGGAAUAAGCCACGGCGAACUACGUGCCAGCAGCCGCGGGAAUACGUAGGUGGCAGGCGUUAGCCGGAUUUAAUGGGUGUAAAGGGCGUGUAGGCGGGGACGCAAGCCAGUUGUGAAAACCACGGGCUCAACCUGUGGCCUGCAUUUGAAACUGUGUUUCUUGAGUACUGGAGAGGUAGACGGAAUUCGUGGUGUAGCGGUGAAAUGCGUAGAUAUUAGGAGGAACACCAGUGGCGAAGGCGGUCUGCUGGACAGCAACUGACGCUGAGGCGCGAAAGCGUGGGGAGCAAACAGGAUUAGAUACCCGAGUAGUC